This 468-nucleotide ribosomal RNA is filed under the name uncultured bacterium. Its description in RNAcentral is "partial 16S ribosomal RNA". It matches the Rfam family "Bacterial small subunit ribosomal RNA", at positions 28 to 507 of the family's 1533-position model. The record is from RNAcentral.
GACGAACGCUGGCGGCGUGCUUAACACAUGCAAGUCGAACGGAAAGGCCCUGCUUUUGUGGGGUGCUCGAGUGGCGAACGGGUGAGUAACACGUGAGUAACCUGCCCUUGACUUUGGGAUAACUUCAGGAAACUGGGGCUAAUACCGGAUAGGAGCUCCUGCUGCAUGGUGGGGGUUGGAAAGUUUCGGCGGUUGGGGAUGGACUCGCGGCUUAUCAGCUUGUUGGUGGGGUAGUGGCUUACCAAGGCUUUGACGGGUAGCCGGCCUGAGAGGGUGACCGGCCACAUUGGGACUACGAUACGCCGCAGACUCCUACGGGGGGCAGCAGUCGGGAAUAUUGCACAAUGGGCGGGCGCCUGAUGCGGCAGCCCCGCGUGCGGGAUGCCGGCCUUCGGGUUAUAAACCGCUUUCGCCUGUGACGAAGCGUGAGUGACGGUAAUGGGUGAAGAAGCACCGGCUAACUACGUG